This 253-nucleotide ribosomal RNA is filed under the name uncultured bacterium. Its description in RNAcentral is "partial 16S ribosomal RNA". It matches the Rfam family "Bacterial small subunit ribosomal RNA", at positions 524 to 776 of the family's 1533-position model. The record is from RNAcentral.
UACGUAGGCAGCAAGCGUUGUUCGGAGUUACUGGGCGUAAAGAGUAUGUAGGCGGUUGCGUAAGUUCGGUGUGAAAUCUCCCGGCUUAACUGGGAGGGUGCGCCGAAAACUGCGUGGCUUGAGUGCGGGAGAGGAGAGCAGAAUUCCUGGUGUAGCGGUGAAAUGCGUAGAUAUCAGGAGGAACACCGGCGGUGUAGACGGCUCUCUGGACCGUAACUGACGCUGAGAUACGAAAGCGUGGGUAGCAAACAGG